RNAcentral lists this ribosomal RNA (432 nucleotides) under uncultured bacterium. RNAcentral describes it as "partial 16S ribosomal RNA". It matches the Rfam family "Bacterial small subunit ribosomal RNA", at positions 29 to 506 of the family's 1533-position model. The record is from RNAcentral.
AACGAACGCUGGCGGCAGGCUUAACACAUGCAAGUCGAACGGAUCCUUCGGGAUUAGUGGCAGACGGGUGAGUAACGCGUGGGAACGUACCCUUUGCUACGGAAUAACUCAGGGAAACUUGAGCUAAUACCGUAUGUGCCCUAAGGGGGAAAGAUUUAUCGGCAAAGGAUCGGCCCGCGUUGGAUUAGCUAGUUGGUGGGGUAAUGGCCUACCAAGGCGACGAUCCAUAGCUGGUCUGAGAGGAUGAUCAGCCAGACUGGGACUGAGACACGGCCCAGACUCCUACGGGAGGCAGCAGUGGGGAAUAAUGGACAAUGGGCGCAAGCCUGAUCCAGCCAGGCCGCGUGAGUGAUGAAGGUCUUAGGAUUGUAAAGCUCUUUCACCGGUGAAGAUAAGGACGUAAGCCGUAGAAGAAGCCCGGGCUAACUUCGU